Paramuricea clavata is the source of this 284-nucleotide non-coding RNA. Lineage: Eukaryota; Metazoa; Cnidaria; Anthozoa; Malacalcyonacea; Plexauridae. The record is from the annotation of a GenBank genome assembly.
GCGAAGUUUCUGACAAGAGACGCAGUUAGCGAUGUGAUAACCCACAGCUGAGCUUCCACCGAUUACCCAAAACCCGUUCGAUCGUAGUUCGUUCAAAGUCAUACCACGUCCUUGAUGACUAAGUGCUUCAUGAUAGUGCCGUAUGAUCAGUGUUGUGACAUGUCCCUUUCUUGGAAGUAUAGCGGGGUGCUUGACGUGAUGAGGGGCGUUGGAACGUUUGAUUCGGCCACCAACUCUCAGGACUCCAUCGUGGUCGAUGAAUGGGUCCAACUGGUAAAGACAAC